Oreochromis niloticus (Nile tilapia) is the source of this 1026-nucleotide long non-coding RNA. RefSeq lists it as uncharacterized. The transcript is spliced from 3 exons. NCBI's taxonomy places the organism in Eukaryota, Metazoa, Chordata, Actinopteri, Cichliformes, Cichlidae. The record is from RefSeq and is a predicted model, not a curated record.
CCCUUAGCUGUUUGAGACAAACCUUUUUCCUCUGGUAGAGAGAACGGGGAGUAUGGGGAGAGGAGUAUGCAUUUUAUCAAGUUGCUAUAAGUGCACCGGGAGCUUCUGGGCUCUUUGUGUCUCGAGGGAUAGUUGACACAGAGACAUGUGCGAAGGGCUUUAUUAGUGACCUUGGAAAGUGGAAUGUCUGCACAGGAAGUAUUGACAACUUUAAAUUACUCCUCUCUGCACCUCUUGUCUGACACCUAUUUCCUUUCAACACUAUGUCUCUGUUGCACACUCAAACACACACACGCAGGCAUAGAUAUACACACACUUCUAAGUCGCUUGUGUCUUGUCACACACACUUUGGUUUUCCGGGGCUAUCAAAGUGCUGAGUGCAAACUCUCUCCUCCAAAAACUGUCACAUGUCGCCAGAGGUGUCUCGCUCCCUGCGGUAACCCUCUGAGCUCCUGGCACAAGAACAAGUCAUUAUUUCCAUGGUAAAGGUCAGACGCUCUGUCACCUGACUCUAAAGUGGAGCUGAGUGGAGUCGCCCCGAGACAAUGACCAAAGGUCAGUUUUCUGUUUUGACUCUCAUACAGUAGGUGUAGAUUUGAGGAGGACAGGCUGCUCCCAGAUCUGCCUCUGAGCCCCUUUUGGUCACACUGGCUUCCAGACAUGGAGGCUCAGAUAAUUGGCUGCAGGGAGCUCCUUAAUGAGCCGCGGGGUCUGUAAUGUGACACAUCUUCAAGGAGAAAUAUUUUAAUAGGGCAAUUACAGCGAUGAGGAGGAUGUUUUGUGUGGAGUGAGUGAUUGUUGUGGAAGGACGCCGUGCUAAGGAAUUCUGUGGCAUUUAACUCCAUUAUCUACUGUGAGGCUCGGUGGUGGGGACAUUUUCAGUGUGAUUACAGUCUCAUUUGAGCUUAUCUUUGUCUGCAUGGUCUGACCCGACACUGUAGGUCAUAAUAUGCUUAAGGGUUAUAUUUCCAAUUACGAUCUAAUAUUAUGGAGAAGGAAAAUAGGUAAGUGGAUGUAGAGUUCAAU